RNAcentral lists this ribosomal RNA (905 nucleotides) under metagenome. RNAcentral describes it as "bacterial SSU rRNA". It matches the Rfam family "Bacterial small subunit ribosomal RNA", at positions 8 to 928 of the family's 1533-position model. The record is from RNAcentral.
AGAGUUUGAUCCUGGCUCAGGACGAACGCUGGCGGCGUGCUUAACACAUGCAAGUCAAGGGGGGCCGCAAGGUCAACCGGCGAACGGGUGCGUAACACGUGAGCAACCUGCCUAAGUGUGGGGGAUAGCCGGCCCAACGGCCGGGUAAUACCGCAUACGAUCACUAGUCGGCAUCGACAUGUGAUGAAACUUUCGAGGCACUUAGAGGGGCUCGCGGCCUAUCAGCUUGUUGGUGGGGUAAUGGCCUACCAAGGCUACGACGGGUAGCUGGUCUGAGAGGAUGGCCAGCCACAUUGGGACUGAGAUACGGCCCAGACUCCUACGGGAGGCAGCAGUGGGGAAUAUUGCGCAAUGGGCGAAAGCCUGACGCAGCGACGCCGCGUGGGGGAUGAAGCAUUUCGGUGUGUAAACCCCUGUUGCUCGGGACGAACAAUUGGUUUUGACCAAUCUGACGGUACCGGGUGAGGAAGCACCGGCUAACUCCGUGCCAGCAGCCGCGGUAAUACGGAGGGUGCGAGCGUUGUCCGGAAUCACUGGGCGUAAAGGGCGCGUAGGCGGUCUGCUAAGCGUGUGGUGAAAGCUCGGGGCUCAACCCCGAGUCUGCCAUGCGAACUGGUGGACUUGAGCACUGUAGGCAGGUGGAAUUCCGGGUGUAGCGGUGGAAUGCGUAGAGAUCCGGAAGAACACCAGUGGCGAAGGCGGCCUGCUGGGCAGUUGCUGACGCUGAGGCGCGACAGCGUGGGGAGCAAACAGGAUUAGAUACCCUGGUAGUCCACGCCGUAAACGAUGGGAACUAGGUGCUUGGGGGAGCGACCCCCCGAGUGCCGGCGCUAACGCAUUAAGUUCCCCGCCUGGGGAGUACGGCCGCAAGGCUGAAACUCAAAGGAAUUGACGGGCAAAAAAAA